GAUCAUAUGUUGUCAAGUUGCAGAGACUUUGGAUCAACUCACAGAUUUGGGAAAGAAUGUGACUAUAAACUGUGAUCUGGAUGAAGAAGAGAUUUUUUGGUUAUUACUGAAAACACCAGAUCCUCCUGUGAUGAUAUUACGCACUUUAUCAUCAACAGCAUUUCUCUUUAACAAAACAUUCAGACACAAAUAUUCACUUCAAUCUAAAAAUCAUCUGUUUAUAAAUAACAUCACUAUUGAUGAAUUAGGAGUUUAUUACUGUAUGAAGACAGAUACACAUCCAAAAUUCAGCAAUGGCACCAGACUACAUAUAAAUGAGCCAACAGAAAGCCCAAACCAAGUAACUUAUAUACAGCCGAAUCAUACAGAAGUGAAAAACAUUCAACAGACUCAGACAUCAUGUCAGAUUCUUACCAUCAUACUUGGUCUGCUUAAUGGUGUUUUGUUCAUUGUGAUCAUAGGUGAGUAAAUUAAAGUUCAGGUUCUAAAUAUAAACAUCAUGUUAAAUCUGAUUUGUUUGUGUUUUUCUGAAGGAUUAUUAAAGGUUUUCAUUGUUGGAAAUAAAAGAUUUGAAGAUUGUUCACAACAACUUCAUGACACUGAACUACAGCAGGUGACCUACAGAUGUUUAUCAGCGAGUCCCAAACCAGUUACAGUUAACAGAAGUGAACUUUUUGAAGCUGCAUAAAAGUCUAAUGUUGCCAUCUCACAGUUUAUACUAACUCUUAUUGAUACUGGAUUAUUGCACACCACUCAUUUACUAUGUCUCUUAAGAGUCUGAGACUGUAAAGUGUCUGCUAAAUGCAAAAUGUCUAUAAGUGAUCAGACUGAAGUACUUUACAUGUACUGUAGUAUAGAUCAUAGUUUCAUAUAUGAAAGUCUUCUUGGUUAACAAUCAUUUUUACUUGAUUCUUAUGAUUUUGGCACAGCAAAGCCAUAAUGUAGCUGACAGUUUUAGCCUUAACAUCCACUCAGAUGUUGGAAAAUGAAGAUUUUAGUAUUUUAAUAAUGUACUGGUAAUGUAAUGUACUGGAUCUGUGACUGUUGAUUUUGAAGUUACUUUAUAGUAUAGCCUAUGUGUUGUAUAUUUCUUUGUCAAACGGUAGCUUGAUUAAAAAACAUUAAAUGAUUAAAGCUUAAUAAUGUCUGUUUUGGUCAAUAUUUGGAUUACUGAUGUUUCUCAGUGUGGUUUUCUUAAUAAAUAGUUUUAUUAAACUUGGU
Misgurnus anguillicaudatus (oriental weatherfish) is the source of this 1221-nucleotide non-coding RNA. NCBI's taxonomy places the organism in Eukaryota, Metazoa, Chordata, Actinopteri, Cypriniformes, Cobitidae. The record is from RefSeq and is a predicted model, not a curated record.